Molecule: ribosomal RNA, 496 nt
Filed under: uncultured bacterium
Lineage: Bacteria
Description: partial 16S ribosomal RNA
Rfam family: Bacterial small subunit ribosomal RNA
Source: RNAcentral
GAUGAACGCUGGCGGCGUGCCUAAUACAUGCAAGUCGAGCGAACGGACGAGAAGCUUGCUUCUCUGAUGUUAGCGGCGGACGGGUGAGUAACACGUGGAUAACCUACCUAUAAGACUGGGAUAACUUCGGGAAACCGUAGCUAAUACCGGAUAAUAUUUUGAACCGCAUGGUUCAAAAGUGAAAGACGGUCUUGCUGUCACUUAUAGAUGGAUCCGCGCUGCAUUAGCUAGUUGGUAAGGUAACGGCUUACCAAGGCAACGAUGCAUAGCCGACCUGAGAGGGGGAUCGGCCCCACUGGAACUGAGACACGGUCCAGACUCCUACGGGAGGCAGCAGUAGGAAAUCUUCCGCAAUGGGCGAAAGCCUGACGGAGCAACGCCGCGUGAGUGAUGAAGGUCUUCGGAUCGUAAAACUCUGUUAUUAGGGAAGAACAUAUGUGUAAGUAACUGUGCACAUCUUGACGGUACCUAAUCAGAAGCCACGGCUAACUACGUG